RNAcentral lists this ribosomal RNA (506 nucleotides) under uncultured bacterium. RNAcentral describes it as "partial 16S ribosomal RNA". It matches the Rfam family "Bacterial small subunit ribosomal RNA", at positions 28 to 523 of the family's 1533-position model. The record is from RNAcentral.
GAUGAACGCUAGCGGCAGGCCUAACACAUGCAAGUCGAGGGGCAGCACAUAAAGUGGUUUACUACUUUUGGUGGCGACCGGCGGACGGGUGCGUAACGCGUAUGCAACCUGCCUCCAACAGGGGGAUAACGGAGAGAAAUUUCCACUAAUACCCCAUAAUAUCAGAAUCGGCAUCGGUUUUGGUUGACAACUCCGGUGGUUGGAGAUGGGCAUGCGUUGUAUUAGAUAGUUGGUGAGGUAACGGCUUACCAAGUCAACGAUACAUAGGGGGACUGAGAGGUUAGCCCCCCACACUGGUACUGAGACACGGACCAGACUCCUACGGGAGGCAGCAGUGAGGAAUAUUGGUCAAUGGGGGCAACCCUGAACCAGCCAUGCCGCGUGCAGGAAGACGGCUCUAUGAGUUGUAAACUGCUUUUACAAGGGGAUAAAUCGGUGUACGUGUACACCGUUGAAGGUACCUUGGGAAUAAGGAUCGGCUAACUCCGUGCCAGCUGCCGCGGUAA